CUGCUGCCUCCCGUAGGAGUCUGGUCCAUGUCUCAGUACCAGUGUGGGGGGCCUUCCUCUCAGAACCCCUACGCAUCGUCGCCACGGUGGGCCGUCACCCCGCCGUCUAGCUAAUGCGCCGCAUGCCCAUCCGCCACCGGAUCGCUCCUUUGGCCACCGGAGGAUGCCCUCCGGUGGCGUCACGGGGUAUUAGGCCGCGUUUCCGCGGGUUAUCCCCCUGUGGCGGCCAGGUUGCAUACGUGUUACUCACCCGUGCGCCGGUCG
Molecule: ribosomal RNA, 264 nt
Filed under: uncultured bacterium
Lineage: Bacteria
Description: partial 16S ribosomal RNA
Source: RNAcentral